This 1014-nucleotide long non-coding RNA is filed under the name Bos grunniens (domestic yak). RNAcentral describes it as "lncRNA (ENSBGRG00000025039.1)". Lineage: Eukaryota; Metazoa; Chordata; Mammalia; Artiodactyla; Bovidae. The record is from RNAcentral.
AUGCGCGCCGCGGCCCGCGCAUGCCCAGCGCGCGGCCGGGCUCGACCCACCGGGCUCGCGCUGGGGAGACGCCGGAGCCGGGCUGCGGGCGGCCGCGGGCGUGGCUGCGGCCCCGAACGGCAGCCCUGGGGAAGCCUUGGCCGGCGCGGGAGGGCCUGUCCCCGCCGCACCCGCCGCCGGGACAGGGCGGUCCGGCCCCGCUCGGCCCCUCAGCCCUGGGGCCGCCGCCCUGCCAACCAGCAGCUCCGCGAGUCGGCCUCACGCCCCGGCCCCGGCCCGGGCCCCUCACUCACUCCGACCGCGGCGGUGCCGGCAGGCGAAAGCGGACGACGACCGGGCGGCGCCGCGGCUGACGGGCCGCGCUCCUCCCACGCCUCACGCCGCGGGCGCACAGCGGUCCCGGCCCGGCGGCGGCGGCGGCGGCGGCGGCGGGCUCGCGCCCUCGGGGCCGUGCUGCGUCGGCGCGGGCCGCGCGUGCGCGGCGGCCGGCUGAGGCGCGCCCCGCCCCACCCCGCCGCUGCGCUGCUCGGCCGCGUCCCUGCCCCGAGCUUCCGCCUCCCGGGAGUACCGCGCAUGCGCGCCGCGGCCCGCGCAUGCCCAGCGCGCGGCCGGGCUCGACCCACCGGGCUCGCGCUGGGGAGACGCCGGAGCCGGGCUGCGGGCGGCCGCGGGCGUGGCUGCGGCCCCGAACGGCAGCCCCGGGGGAAGCCCUGGCUGGGGGCGGGAGCGGCACCCGGCCAAGCGGACGCCCCGAGGCAGCAGCUCUGGGCCGACGGAGUUGAGGGGACUACGGGGGAGCCCUCGCACCCUUUCCCUGCCCGGAGCCCCAGACGCAGCCCUUCUGGAGGCACCGCUCCCCCGGUCGGCAGCCCCACAGCCGGUCCCCAGGGGCCGAGGCACGGGUGUGGAGCCCCGCUGUGUGCCCGCGCCGGCCCGGGUCCCCUCCAGGCUUCACGCCCACCCUACUGGGGACCCUUUGCAGAGAGGGAGCGGGUUCAGGGGCGUCAGAGCUAG